UGGGGAAUCUUGGACAAUGGGCGCAAGCCUGAUCCAGCAAUGCCGCGUGGGUGAAGAAGGCCUUCGGGUUGUAAAGCCCUUUCGGCGGGGAAGAAAUCGGUCAGGCGAAUAGUCUGGCUGGAUGACGGUACCCGCAGAAGAAGCACCGGCUAACUACGUGCCAGCAGCCGCGGUAAUACGUAGGGUGCGAGCGUUAAUCGGAAUUACUGGGCGUAAAGGGUGCGCAGGCGGCCCUGUAAGACCGGUGUGAAAUCCCCGGGCUCAACCUGGGAAUUGCGCUGGUGACUGCAGGGCUAGAGUACGGUAGAGGGGGGUGGAAUUCCUGGUGUAGCAGUGAAAUGCGUAGAGAUCAGGAGGAACACCGAUGGCGAAGGCAGCCCCCUGGGCCUGUACUGACGCUCAUGCACGAAAGCGUGGGGAGCAAACAGG
This 429-nucleotide ribosomal RNA is filed under the name Acidobacteriota bacterium. RNAcentral describes it as "Acidobacteria bacterium partial 16S ribosomal RNA". It matches the Rfam family "Bacterial small subunit ribosomal RNA", at positions 355 to 776 of the family's 1533-position model. Lineage: Bacteria; Pseudomonadati; Acidobacteriota. The record is from RNAcentral.